RNAcentral lists this ribosomal RNA (458 nucleotides) under uncultured bacterium. Its description in RNAcentral is "bacterial SSU rRNA". It matches the Rfam family "Bacterial small subunit ribosomal RNA", at positions 28 to 507 of the family's 1533-position model. The record is from RNAcentral.
GAUAAACGCUGGCGGCGUGCAUGAGACAUGCAAGUCGAACGAAGGAUCGGGCUUGCUCGAUCCUUAGUGGCGGACGGCUGAGUAACGCGUAGGUGACCUACCCCGAAGUGGGGAAUAACUGCCCGAAAGGGUGGCUAAUACCGCAUGUGGUCGCACGUUCAUUCGUGCGAGUAAAGCCGCAAGGCGCUUCGGGAGGGGCCUGCGUCCGAUUAGCUCGUUGGUGGGGUAAUGGCCUACCAAGGCGACGAUCGGUAGGUGGUCUGAGAGGACGAUCACCCAGACUGGGACUGAGACACGGCCCAGACUCCUACGGGAGGCAGCAGUCGGGAAUUUUGCUCAAUGGGGGAAACCCUGAAGCAGCAACGCCGCGUGAGGGAUGAAGGCCUUCGGUUGUAAACCUCUUUUGUCAGGGACGAUGAUGACGGUACCUGGCGAAUAAGACCACGGCUAACUACGUG